RNA transcript from Hemicordylus capensis (graceful crag lizard), 1400 nucleotides. It is a transcript of the gene named transmembrane protein 238, with no coding region annotated. The transcript is spliced from 2 exons. NCBI's taxonomy places the organism in Eukaryota, Metazoa, Chordata, Lepidosauria, Squamata, Cordylidae. The record is from RefSeq and is a predicted model, not a curated record.
UCUUGAUCGUAGAGGAGAGGCAUCUAAAAGGAUAGUGGGCAGGGGUCUGUGAAGAGAGGGGUUGUGAGGGAGGAAAGAACCCCUUUAAGAGAAGGAGGCUGCUGUUGUGUGAAUUAGAUGAGGAAACAAGAUGAACAAGAACUGUUAACUCUUGAAGGGAGAGAGAGAGAGAAAGAGAGAAAGAAAGAAAGAAGGGAGGGGGAAGAAAGACAGAGGCGAAGAGCAAGUGGAGGAGAGAGAGAGACAAAGAAGGGAGGGGAAGAGAGAGAGAAGGAAGGGCGAGGGACUGGCACAAGCCUGUCAGCAGCCUGAGGGGAACGAGUGGUUAUGGUGGCAGCGGCAGCAAGGAAGGUCCCAGUCAACCACUGCUGCUGUUUGGGGCUACCAAAGCCAUUCCGGAAGGAGGCAGGCAGGCAGGCAAGGGACGGACCUGGGCCUGUCAGCGGCCUCAGGGGAACGAGCGGCCAUAGCGGUGGUGGCAGUGGGGAAGAGCCCGGUCAACCACUGCUGCUGCUGCUGAGGGGAGGAGCAGGACUUGGGUGAGAGUGGAGAGGUCUCUGGGGAUAGGGGGCUGCAGCUUGGCCAAUAGGCGCCAGCAAUGCUGCAGCUGCGACCAAGUGGGUGAGGGCUUAGGGGAUGGAGCAGGAGUGGAGAGAUCUCUGAGGUGAGGAGGGCUGUGGCAGUGGGUGAGGGGAGCAAACAAGUACUAGUGCACAGAUGCUCUGCACAAGUUAAGCUAGUUACACCUAUUCUGAAAGAGCUGGUUGCCACGUUGUUUCCAGAUCCAAUUCAAGAUGGCCGGUCUUAAGAUACUGGAAGAUGCUCUGGUCUACAUGCAGCGUAGACGGACUCACUAGUGUGGAUCAUGUUCUUCCACUGGGGCUGCAGCUGACCUUGGACACCCCCUCUUCCACAUACCAGGAAAAGGACACUAGACUCCCUCCUCCAUCGCUCUGACCUGUAGCCAUAUCCAUCUGCAUCAAGGAUCCCUUUGUGUGAAUCUUGCUUUACAUUUCAAAAAUCCUUCUUUUUGGGAACAAGGUUUCCAUUUGUGUAUUUCUGCUGCAAGCUGAGUUCUCAGCCUUCCCCACCAAUUUCACCCUGCCAGGAGGGCUCCUGUGUAGGGUUGCCAUAUUCAAGCUUCCCAAAUCCAGGUGACCUGAUUUGCAUAUUAUGCAAAUUGUGCAGCAACUAAUUUGCAUUUUAUUUAUUUGACAGAUUUGUAUACUGCCUGCCACUACCCCAGUCUCUAAGUGGUUUAGAACAAUAAAACAAACCAACGACUGUGGAGAAACUGUGGAGCCAAUGGCAGGAGGCAAAUUCGCAGAGCCUUCCUUUCUUUCCCCUCCUCCUCUUCCCUCCCAUGUGAUCAGAUCCAGAAUAAAAUCCGGGCAAACCGG